GAAUACCUUUGCAGAGCUCCUGACUGAGCUAAGCCAAGCCUGCCAUAUGGAAAGGACUUUUUACCUGUGUCCUGCUUAUCUGCAAGUGUGAAGCAGAAAUUGUGCAAAAUACAUCGUGUUCCUGGGUGCAUAAAAGGCUAAUUUCCAAGAGGAGAUGCCUCACCACAAAAUGUCCCUCUCUGCCCUGCCACAGUUGGUCCUGAUUUGACUGUCUCUGUGGAGAAGCCAAGGAUCAAAUGCUCCAUGGCGCCAGACUGUUUUCUUUUGCAGCCUGCAGGUCACCAGGAUACUUAAGAAGUUUGCGUUAAUUAUACCAUGUUUGCCAUCAAAGAGGGGAUAUUAACCCUUUCGAGCUGCUGCAGGAAGGCAGUGGAGCCAUUUGAAAUGUUGCAGGAACUGCUGAAGCCCCCACUCAGAGAAGCGCGCUCUUCCAGGCGCUGGGGGAUGCACCACCCCUCCCAACAGCCUGAUGGAUUAGGGCCCCACUUCUUUCAGUGGAUGCAACCCAACCAGCAAAGAGGCAGAGAGGCAGCCCCCAGACGUUCCCCUUAGAACGAUGCUUUCCCUCAGCUGUCUCUGCGUCUGGGAUUUGAUGGAUGUGUGAAGCUCAAACUGAUUGUCUCUCUUUUUCCCCUCUCCAGUGAUCUCAGCCUCCUUUCUGCCCUUGCUCCCGGUGGACUCCACCGGGGUGGGUGCCUGAGACAGCAGGCGCUGGCUGCAUGUGGAUGUGGUGGCCACACUGCCCAAAGUUUACCCAAGCAGCUAAUCUGCAUUUUUAAGCGACAGCUGCCAACACAACAGAACAAAAUGCUUCAACCUCCAGAGUCUGCGAGCAGGAUGGUUUUUGUGCCCCAUUACAGUUUUGGCUGUGCUAGAACUUCUACAGGCAUUUACCAAGAUUGUGUUGCAGCUCUCACCCCUUGCUAGUGCAGGAUUGCCUUCCCCCGAGUUUUUUCCCAGCAAGUUUGUCUGACCUAGGUUGUCUGGUUUGAGGAACAAUAGGGUAGUUGGGAGAGGGGCUCUUUUUUAAAAUAAAUAUUUCAUGUUAGGGAGAAGAAUGAAGGAAUUGUGUCAAAAUAAUCACCAUCUUGGGUAUAUUAAAAUCCCGUAUUACGGCUACAUUUUUGCUUUGUUCCUGGCCCUCGCAAUCUUUUCCCCCUUCCUGGUAACUUUGGUAUGGAAGAUAGAUGGAGCUAAUCCAAGAGGGCUGUUGAGUAAAUUUCCCCUCUCCUUGUUUUGAAGGCAGCUUUUCUUACAGGGUAGCCAUUGCAAAUGACAGCACACAAACAUGCAAUCAGAGGGGUUGAGGCUUUUUGUGGAAAAUAAAAUAAAUAUGACUUUGUGUCUGAUUUUAAAA
Molecule: long non-coding RNA, 1357 nt
Organism: Melospiza melodia melodia
Lineage: Eukaryota; Metazoa; Chordata; Aves; Passeriformes; Passerellidae
Exons: 6
Source: RefSeq, a predicted model, not a curated record